This 279-nucleotide ribosomal RNA is filed under the name uncultured Cercozoa. Its description in RNAcentral is "partial 18S ribosomal RNA". The stretch from base 106 to 279 matches the Rfam family "Eukaryotic small subunit ribosomal RNA", at positions 737 to 955 of the family's 1831-position model. Lineage: Eukaryota; Cercozoa. The record is from RNAcentral.
GAUUUCUGGUUUAAUGCACCUGGCCCGCGGCCAAUAGGCUUGUGAGUGCCGGCGCGCGUUUACCAUCCUUCUAGAAAACGAUUCUGCCAUUCACUUGGUUGGGACCGCGAUCUAGAUCUUUUACUUUGAAAAAAUUAGAGUGUUUAAAGCAGGCUUUGUUCUAUUUUGUUGGUUUCUAUAACUGAAGUAAUGAUUGAUAGGGAUAGUUGGGGGUGCUAGUAUUGCCGGCCAGAGGUGAAAUUCUUGGAUUCAGUCAAGACUAACUUAUGCGAAAGCAUU